CCAGACUCCUACGGGAGGCAGCAGUGGGGAAUAUUGCACAAUGGGGGAAACCCUGAUGCAGCGACGCCGCGUGAGCGAUGAAGUAUUUCGGUAUGUAAAGCUCUAUCAGCAGGGAAGAAAAUGACGGUACCUGACUAAGAAGCCCCGGCUAACUACGUGCCAGCAGCCGCGGUAAUACGUAGGGGGCAAGCGUUAUCCGGAUUCACUGGGUGUAAAGGGAGCGUAGACGGCGACGCAAGUCUGGAGUGAAAGGCGGGGGCUCAACCCCCGGACUGCUCUGGAAACUGUACGGCUGGAGUGCAGGAGAGGUAAGUGGAAUUCCUAGUGUAGCGGUGAAAUGCGUAGAUAUUAGGAGGAACACCAGUGGCGAAGGCGGCUUACUGGACUGUAACUGACGUUGAGGCGCGAAAGCGUGGGGAGCAAACAGGAUUAGAUACCCCCGUAUU
RNAcentral lists this ribosomal RNA (446 nucleotides) under uncultured bacterium. Its description in RNAcentral is "bacterial SSU rRNA". It matches the Rfam family "Bacterial small subunit ribosomal RNA", at positions 331 to 794 of the family's 1533-position model. The record is from RNAcentral.